RNAcentral lists this ribosomal RNA (330 nucleotides) under uncultured eukaryote. RNAcentral describes it as "partial 18S ribosomal RNA". It matches the Rfam family "Eukaryotic small subunit ribosomal RNA", at positions 1470 to 1796 of the family's 1831-position model. The record is from RNAcentral.
CCCUUAGAUGUUCUGGGCCGCACGCGUGCUACACUGAUGCAUUCAACGAGUCUAAAACCUGGUCUGAUAGGGCUGGGUAAUCUUUUGAAAGUGCAACGUGAUUGGGAUAGAUGAUUGCAAUUCUUCAUCUUCAACGAGGAAUGCCUAGUAAACGCAAGUCAUCAGCUUGCAUUGAUUACGUCCCUGCCCUUUGUACACACCGCCCGUCGCUCCUACCGAUUGAAUGAUCCGAUGAAUACCAUGGAUUGAGAGUACGAAUAGGUUCGCUUAUUUCUGCUGCUCGAGAAGUGGAGUAAAUCUUAUCAUUUAGAGGAAGGAGAAGUCGUAACA